GUAAAGCACUUUCAUAGGGAGGAAGGUAGUGUAGUUAACACCUGCAUUAUUUGACGUUACCUUACACGAAGAAAGCACCGGCUAACUCCGUGCCAGCAGCCGCGGUAAUACGGAGGGUGCGAGCGUUAAUCGGAAUUACUGGGCGUAAAGCGCAUGCAGGCGGCCUGUUAAGUCAGAUGUGAAAGACCCGGGGCGUUAACCUCCGGAAUUGCAUUUGAAACUGGCAGGCUAGAGUCUUGUAGAGGGGGGUAGGAAUUUCAGGUGUAGCGGUGAAAUGCGUAGAGAUCUGAAGGAAUACCAGUGGCGAAGGCGGCCCCCUCGGACAAAGACUGACGCUCAGAUGCGAAAGCGUGGGGAGCAAACAGGAUUAGAUACCCCUGGUAG
Molecule: ribosomal RNA, 384 nt
Filed under: uncultured bacterium
Lineage: Bacteria
Description: bacterial SSU rRNA
Rfam family: Bacterial small subunit ribosomal RNA
Source: RNAcentral